GGGUGCAGUAUGUCGCUCACCCGAAUUUUUCACGCAACUUUUGCUAAAUAGAGCUAGUUCUAGUUUGUGAUUCAUUUUGAUACUUCAGAUUUGGGUAGUAGACCAAAAUAACUUAGUCGUCAGUGUGGUUUUAAGCAGGAAAAACGUAUUUGUUUUUCUCAAAGUGCCUUUUUUGGACAGGUGUGUGCGAUUGUUAUUCACAAUGUGAUCUUAUUUCUGUUCCUGAAAAGUUGUUUUCAGUGUAUUUUGGUCGACAUUUUGACAAUUAUAUUUAGCAAUAUUUCGAUAAAUGCGGACCUGCUUCUUCCUCUUUUCGUAGUGACGGUGUUUCGAUAACUCAGUUAGACUUCGAGAUCUACAUUUUCGACAAAGUCCUGGUGUAAUAUUACGUACUUGAUGAAGGUUUAAUGACACGAAUGAGUACAAGUACAUUACAUUUUUCGACGAAGGCCUUCUGUAAUUUCAUACGCUUCUUACGCAACAUUCAAUAGAUUUAUUUACUGUAUUAUCAUUUCGACCAAGGCGAAUUCGACACUUCAAUUACACAAGCACAAUCAAACUUAGUCAUUCCAGUCAGUUACUGAAGCACAGCGAAAACUGUCUGAAUUAGUGCUGCUGAUGGCAUGUAAUUACUCUACUACCACUACCAGUGACAGUCAAUGUCCAUAUAUUUUCAAGUGUGCGAAAUUAUUACUCGUCUACUUCUUAGUGUUAUUUGAAUGCAAUGUAUGUUAUAAAAAUAUUUUUUCAACACUAUAUCAACAUUCUCAUUCCUGUCAGUUUCUGAAAAUCAGCUAAAGCAAUCGCUACCAAUGCAGCUGAUAACAGCAAUUCUUUUUGUUCCCAAUGCCCAUCCAUGACAAUAUAUUUCACGCAUGUGACAAUCAUGUAAUCAUCCUGUUUUUUGUGUUCUAUUCAUGCAAUAAAUAAAUUCAGUAUUUUCAAAUCAUUGGUGCUACAAAACUAUUCUCAUUAUAGAUUAUUCAUAUUUUAUAAAAUGCUGUCAUGUCAAAUUUUGUGUCCUAUAAAUCAUUAUGAAGUCGGCAUUUUAUAUACAACUUUUGUACUCCUCCUAAAUAAACAUACAAAUCUUGUUUUAUGUAAACUUUGUAUAUGUGACCCGUCACAGCAAAACCAGGCGCAUGUCGCUCUGAGCUUGGCAGGUUGAGACGGACUGUUUGUUCAUUUAUCUAUUGUCUGCCUUUUGUAAAAUAUGAGCACAUCAAUUUCUUCCAUUAUCUCCUGGUGUCAUUUAGGCUCAUCUUCUGUGCGACAUGUACCUGGUUUUGCUGUGACGGGUCACAUAUUCUAUAGAUAUACAACACUCUAAUGUCACAAUGCCUCUCUCACUCGCUUUUAUAUAGCAAGAUGUAUGAAUAAACAUGACACACCAACUAUGUACAAAAUUGCUAACAAACUGCACCAUUUGUCAGUACACCACAUGAAAUACAGAGAUAUGUCUUAAUUCUAAUCUUUCAUUAGCGACACCAUUUCUUACCCGAGUGCCUCCUUCAUUCAUACAUCUUGUACUUUAACUCAAGAUACCCAUCUUUGAAUAUUUUUAGUGGCUCUAGGAAAAUUCGUCCCCGGAAAAUUCGUCCCCGGAAAACUCGUCCCCGGAAAAUUCGUCCCCUAGGAAAAUUCGUCCCCGGAUAAUUCGUCCCCGAGGAUAAUUCGUCCCUGGAGAAUUCGUCCCCGAGGAUAAUUCGUCCCUGGAAAAUUCGUCCCCGAGGAAUAUUUUGUCCC
Molecule: long non-coding RNA, 1746 nt
Organism: Lineus longissimus
Lineage: Eukaryota; Metazoa; Nemertea; Pilidiophora; Heteronemertea; Lineidae
Exons: 5
Source: RefSeq, a predicted model, not a curated record